Marmota monax (woodchuck) is the source of this 521-nucleotide long non-coding RNA. RefSeq lists it as uncharacterized. NCBI's taxonomy places the organism in Eukaryota, Metazoa, Chordata, Mammalia, Rodentia, Sciuridae. The transcript is spliced from 3 exons. The record is from RefSeq and is a predicted model, not a curated record.
GAGACUUUCAAAGAGAUGAAAGUAUUUCAAGAGGGAGGGAUGGGCCAACUGAACAAAUUCUUGCUGAUAGGUCAAGUCAACUCAGAAAAGAAAAGCAACCCUUGAGUUUGGGAUCAUGGUGCCACUGGCUGUUGGCAGGUCAGAGCAGUUUCCAUGGGGGCAUGAAGAGAGCAACCCAUUGGAGGACAUGUAUGAAGGGAAGCAUGCCGUGCAGCUUCAACAAACCCCAGAGGAAUUGGUGACCAGGUCUGGAUCAAGAUCAAGAAAUCCAGGAUGUAAGAAAAUCUCCCAGGAGAAGAAGACCUUAUAAUUUAUCAGAAAGGAGGCAGGUCAGCCCUCCUGAGGGGCUGCGAUGCUGCUGGAGAUCGCCUCAUUGGGUACAUCCAGGGGUGCACCUGCUGCAGGGCUGUGGCCUGAAGACAUGGGUGAUUCAUUUGUAAUAACAAAUUAUAAUGGGGAUGCUUUUACUUCUUGCAUCCUGGGGCUUGAUUUGAAUUUGUUUAAAUAAACUCUGAAAUUCA